Meleagris gallopavo (turkey) is the source of this 2821-nucleotide non-coding RNA. NCBI's taxonomy places the organism in Eukaryota, Metazoa, Chordata, Aves, Galliformes, Phasianidae. The record is from RefSeq and is a predicted model, not a curated record.
ACAUGAUGAGGAGCAGAGGGAUAGACAUUUCAAAACAGUGCCAUUCUGACACUGAGCAACUUAUUUAGCCAGCAAGGCAUUGCCGAAACACUGAGGGGACCUCUGGCUAUUGCACUCCUUCCAGCGCCUCUGGGACAUGCUCACUGCAGACCAGCUGGCACCUGGCAGCCAGCCAGCCCAGCACCUGAAGAUGUAGGGUUUCCAUGCCCCAGGUGAAGAGCACUACUGCAGCUAAUAGAGGAUAACAAGGAAAAACUGUGAAAAAUCCUGCCUGUGGGACUGUAGAAGAUAAAAGUCUUUUGUAAGUGUACCUGUGUCACUCUCACAAACAAAUGGGGGACUAGGAGCAUGGAGCUGAGGUCAGCCUUAUGCUGCAAUUAGGAGAGACUGAGGGAAAAGCACAGGCGACUAUUUAAAUAUAGGAUGAACUUUUCCCAGUUUACAUUGCUUUCACUUGGAAUCACUGCUUCCAUCCAAUCUAACCAGCAGCCUCACCUGUAGCCACUUCUAUGCCUGAGAAGACAGAAAUAACUUCCUCAUUAAUGUAAUGAUGGAAGUGAGCUGCAAAGUUAAGGAAGAAAUGCUCUGAUGGCCUCAAGGAUCAUACAAGAUAGCAGAUGAGCUCUCUCCAGCCUCUCCCUGUCUUUCUCAAACUGUGGUACCCAGAACUGGAGCCCAGUACUCCAGAUGUGAGCUCACCUAGGUAAGAGAUACACUGUCCAGUAGUAUUAUGGAAAUAUUUUGAGAAUAACACAUUCCUCAACUCAUGGCAAGCCACAUGUGCUGGCAACAACGUGCAACUUGAAGCUGCCUUUCUAAGCAAAGUGCUACUUGGCAAACUCUGCCACAGUCCAAACCAGGUACCAACACUGUUCCAGCUUUUCUGUCUGGUUGAUGUGUCACAAGUAAGCUUGGAAAUCUUAUCUGAGUAUCUGGAUCAAAGAUUUGCCAGAGAAAUAAGUUUUCCCAAUGUAUUGGUUUCCCAGGAUAAAGCUGUCUAUCUGUGCAUCUGUCACCAUUAAGACUAGCAUUAGCAAGACUGUACACAUAGAAGUAUUUGUCUUUGUUCAGUAUUGACAUCAUUUAUAUCCUUUUUCUCUGAUGAAAGGAUGCAUUUCUCAUGCAGGAUAUUUUCAUCUGAAAAUACUUAAAUUUGGGUGUCUCUUGUACUGUAUGCUCAUCAAAAUUCAAGUUUGUGAUGCUUCAAGCCAUGAUGAAAUAUUUUUGUGUUUUUCUCCUUCUCCAUUGGUGCUUCUGGUUGUAAAUCCCUGACCUUUCUAUUUCUUGCUUUUUAUUUGGGCAUAUUUUAGAUUGAGUUGCUGUUCUGAGUAGUGUAUUUGAUUUCUACACAUCUUGAGAAACCGUUGGGAUAUUAUAUCUAGAAUCUCUUCAGAGACCGGAGACAGAAGUCUGGUAGUCAUAAUUAGAAAGUUUCAGAAAGUCUACAUGCAAAAUAUAUUAAUUAAAAGCAUUUGAUGAACAUCUAUGAACAACAAAUGCUUUAAAAAAAAAAUCAUAUCUACUUAGAUUCGGGAUUAAGUUCCCAGCUGGCUUCACAGUAGCUUCCGUGUCUUCUGCUGGAUAUGGAUCUGGCUCAUUUUUUGUAAUGAGAACUUCAAGUAGCUCUAGCUAAAAUGAAUGACAAAGCUGAUGCUUCUUGGUGAAGUAAUUAAUUAAUUAGUGUGUAUGCAUGCAUGUUACCACAAAUAUAAUUUCUGAAAAUAUGAAGAACUUUGUCCUUGUAUAAAGCCCUCUAGAGUCAUUGCAAAAAAUUUGCAUGGACUUCAUUGGGUUAUGGAUCACAUCCUGUAAAUAUCUGCAUUUUUAGACCUUUUCUAGUGCUUUCUCUUCCAAUGGAAAUUAAUAGCUUCUUGGAAUUGAAAUGACCAGUUUCCGAUUUAGUUUUGCAUAAGAAGCAGAGUCCAGUAGGAUUAAAUAUGAAUGGUGGCUUGCUAAUUCAUUAAUCAUGAAAAUAUGAUGUGCAGUUAGUUACAUAAGUGGUUAUUUUUGCAUGGAAAUGUCUGCUACUUCUAUGUCUGUGCAGAAUCACUUCAAGUGCAGAAGCAGGAACAUACAAACCCAUUCAUUUCAAUAUACUAUUUUAGACAGAAUGCACAAUGAUACAUAAAUACUCUGUAGACAAUAGUGAUUUUGUAGCUGUUAGCACAAUUAUAGGUCAAUGCAUCCAAGUAUCCUACCUGCACAUGAUUAUACACGUUCCUGGUCAGAUGAAGCAGAGUAUUCUCAAAGUAUAUAUGAGACCUUUCCAAACCAUCUUGGCCACAUGUGACCUAUGCAAAAUAUUUUAUUCUGAGAACUUUUGAAAAUGUAAAUAUUACAGCUCCUUUUCUCUUAAAAGUCUGAGAAAUCAGAUAAGAAAGGUUGGGUUGGCUCCAAACAAUACUGAAUUCUUCUCUAUCAUCCAGCAACAGACUUCUGCAUCAGUGACAGGUAACAAGGACAAGGUUUGAUGCGCCAUUUGAAAAUCAUCCACAGCAAGGAGCAAAUCAACAUAAGAUGCAAGUCAAAGGACUGUUGAAAUACUCACUUUCCACUUGAGCAUGCUGUUGGAAGCUGAAAUUCUGCACUGAACUUAGUAAUUCAAUAUGCUUGGCAAAUACAAGAGGUUGCCUCAUUGGCACAGAUCUCUUCUGUGUAAAAAUGAUGGAAAUGCCAAUUCCACCUUUGUCUCCUUCCAGUGUCCUUGCGCCACUAGCACCCUGUUGUCUUUCCCAGGUAAAAGGAUAGUCCCAGGCUCAAUUCACUGUACUUCCGCUGUCAUGGCCAGGGCCCUGCCAGGUACUUGCUCUUGUUAAAAGAA